RNAcentral lists this ribosomal RNA (895 nucleotides) under uncultured bacterium. Its description in RNAcentral is "bacterial SSU rRNA". It matches the Rfam family "Bacterial small subunit ribosomal RNA", at positions 8 to 916 of the family's 1533-position model. The record is from RNAcentral.
AGAGUUUGAUCCUGGCUCAGGACGAACGCUGGCGGCGUGCUUAACACAUGCAAGUCGAACGGAAAGGCCUGCUUGCAGGGUACUCGAGUGGCGAACGGGUGAGUAACACGUGGGUGAUCUGCCUGCACUUCGGGAUAAGCCUGGGAAACUGGGUCUAAUACCGGAUAGGAGCCAUUUUUAGUGUGAUGGUUGGAAAGUUUUUUCGGUGUAGGAUGAGCUCGCGGCCUAUCAGCUUGUUGGUGGGGUAAUGGCCUACCAAGGCGGCGACGGGUAGCCGGCCUGAGAGGGUGGACGGCCACAUUGGGACUGAGAUACGGCCCAGACUCCUACGGGAGGCAGCAGUGGGGAAUAUUGCACAAUGGGCGCAAGCCUGAUGCAGCGACGCCGCGUGGGGGAUGACGGCCUUCGGGUUGUAAACUCCUUUCGCUAGGGACGAAGCUUUUUGUGACGGUACCUAGAUAAGAAGCACCGGCUAACUACGUGCCAGCAGCCGCGGUAAUACGUAGGGUGCGAGCGUUGUCCGGAAUUACUGGGCGUAAAGGGCUCGUAGGUGGUUUGUCGCGUCGUCUGUGAAAUUCCGGGGCUUAACUCCGGGCGUGCAGGCGAUACGGGCAUAACUUGAGUACUGUAGGGGUAACUGGAAUUCCUGGUGUAGCGGUGAAAUGCGCAGAUAUCAGGAGGAACACCGAUGGCGAAGGCAGGUUACUGGGCAGUUACUGACGCUGAGGAGCGAAAGCAUGGGUAGCGAACAGGAUUAGAUACCCUGGUAGUCCAUGCCGUAAACGGUGGGCGCUAGGUGUGAGGGUCUUUUCACGACUUUCGUGCCGUAGCUAACGCAUUAAGCGCCCCGCCUGGGGAGUACGGCCGCAAGGCUAAAACUCAAAGGAAUUGACGG